UCUCCGUUGGUGGACCAGCGGAGGGAUCAUUACCGAGUUUACAACUCCCAAACCCCUGUGAACAUACCAUUUGUUGCCUCGGCGGUGCCUGCUUCGGCAGCCCGCCAGAGGACCCAAACCCUUGAAUUUAUACAGUAUCUUCUGAGUAAAUGAUUAAAUAAAUCAAAACUUUCAACAACGGAUCUCUUGGUUCUG
RNAcentral lists this unclassified non-coding RNA (195 nucleotides) under plant metagenome. RNAcentral describes it as "partial contains small subunit ribosomal RNA, internal transcribed spacer 1, and 5.8S ribosomal RNA". The record is from RNAcentral.